Molecule: non-coding RNA, 1313 nt
Organism: Physcomitrium patens
Lineage: Eukaryota; Viridiplantae; Streptophyta; Bryopsida; Funariales; Funariaceae
Source: RefSeq, a predicted model, not a curated record
AGGGCGGUCAGAUUUGCAUGAAUUUUUGCACACUUCGUCGAUCUAUGGGUUGUCAUAUUACUGACCAGGGAGUAGGAAAAAAGCCUAAUUUAUGUACGGUGUUGGACAAUCGAGGCCAGGCUGAGUCCACUCAAUCUGCUUCGCAUCUGCGGCAUCAAUGUGUUGCGGUCUUAUAUUCACCGACACGCUGCACUUAUGCUUGGAAUUUCGCUUGUGGGUUUUUGUUUAUAAUGUGGGGUGAUGGAGUCCUGAACAUGGCUGGUUUAUUAACUGUGCGGUGUGCACCCCGCGGUUGCGAGAACGCCCGGGACUGAGUGGUUUUCGAGAUGCUAAUCUCGUGUUUUAGCAGCUUAGGGUUGUUAAUCUUCACCGUGAUAGAGCUAGUUUUCUUUUUCUUUUUCUUUUUCUUUUUUUCCUUUGGUCAUGGUGAUGUUGAAUUUUUUUUGAGACUCUUGGACUUACUUAGCACGUUGAUAAGGCAAUGAGAACAAUCGCGUACCGUUUUUUAGGUGCAAACUUGUGUGCGUGAAGAAUUCUUUUAAACAAUGGGAUGCAAUUCAAGCACCGGUUUCUUGAACAACGCAAUGACUGUUGAAUUCACGCAGUUGAAUCUCAUGAACAUGAGAUAAUAUGAGCACAUGACGUCAGGGUUGUUGUUGUUGCUCAUGGAGCGCAAAUGUCCUUAUUAAUCAACAUCCUGACACAAUAAGUGCUCUUCUUACCCUCAAGUUCGUUAACUAAAGUUUUUGAGGUUUUUGAGGAGCAUUUACUUGUUCUAGAGAGCGUUUGAGCAUUCUCCACAUCGCGUGGUUCUGUUAUGCACCAGUGACAUUGUUGCACAAGUAAACACUUACUCAUUAAAUUUGCUGAGAAACUACGCCCUGUGUCUUGCAUGGCGGGGCUUCCAGGUGAAAAAAUCCACGCUAGCUGUUAUUAUGGACAAGUUUUCCUUUUACUUAUUCAGAGUACUGUGAUGAAUCCUCACAUGGGAUAAAAUUGCAAUUUCAAAUUUUGAUUAGGCUCAGUCUACAUCUCUUGAACCAAUCUUUGCCCAUCAUGAUAUUCGCAACGGCAAAUCUCAUCAGUUCGAUGUCAUGAUUUGUGUAUCUCAUGAUAUUGUUGCUUGAAAUGUAAAUCGAGUGUUUGAUGCCCCGCUCAUAAGUGAAUUCUCUUGCCAGUUACCAACAGGUUCAAAAUUUUGGUGGAGGAAAGAAAGAAAAUGGAAAUGCCAUCUCAUACUCUCUCGGCAGUUUGUUGCUAUGCGGGUUUUCUGUAGAAUAAUAAAUGGAUACUCGCCGAAAUGGCUCUUACUU